UUGUGGAACGCAAAACUAUUCCGAGGGAACACAGACCUAGCUCCGAAUUUUUUUUACCACCAUGACCGUGAGCUGCUGGUUUCUAUCCUUGCAGAAAGUGCUUCACCAAAGGGGGCAUUCCAAACCGUUAUUUGCAUGCUUCCUCUGUCUGCAUUCCGCGGUCCUCCAGCUCGAGCCCCGGAAAUCGUUCGAAGUGUGACAACAUAAAGGAUGAGUCAUUUCUUGCUGCCAGAAAACAGCAGGAGAAAUGAGAUGGGAGGACAGAGGACGUGUGUGGAAGUCUUUUUAGAGAUCAGUUUUAUGUUUGAGGUUACAGGGCGUGAUGUGUCCUAUAGGCAAAUAUUUAGAUCGUGUCAGGUAGGCCUAUAGCCCAAGGUGAAAAUGCCCCUCCCCUUUCUUCCUAUGCUUUUUUCACAUCUGUCAACCUACAAUUUAAAAUAAAAUGUAGCAGUUUAUGAACGAAAACAAAUGAUCAGUCAAACCAAGAAAAUAUCCAUGUGCUUGAAUUAUCAUCAAAUAUGCCAACUUUAACGAAACAGUGAUUACUUUGUUGCCUACAGGAUCUUAAAAAACAAUUAAUUCAUACCAUGUCACGUGAACAGAAAAAAAAUCCUUGAUUCCUCCAUCCCCCUUGCAUUCUUUUCUUGUUUACUUCAGGGGGGGGGGUUUAUCAGAGGGAAGGGCUAGAACGUCAUGAAAGGAAAGCAGUGUUGCCCCAGUCAAAUACGAUUCCUGGACCACUUUUUGGUCCACUGCUGCACAAAAGCGACCAGCUGAAAUACAACAAUUGUUUUUACUUCUGCAGUCAUCCAUGCUUGGUUUCGUCGUGCACGUGCACAAGGCUGGCCUUAACUUGCUAGCGCAACAGCCUGUUUUCCCUCUUUGACUGAGCUGCCUUAAUUGUAAAAAAAAAAAAAACACACAACUUAACUUGCCAUUGUUGACCUUGUGUGAGGGCUCCAGGAGUCUUCAGAGAGAGUGAAAGAGCUGAGGGAGGCAGCUACUGGAGUGCAACUUUGCAGAGCUAGAUUCAGA
Clupea harengus (Atlantic herring) is the source of this 1035-nucleotide long non-coding RNA. RefSeq lists it as uncharacterized. The record is from RefSeq and is a predicted model, not a curated record. Lineage: Eukaryota; Metazoa; Chordata; Actinopteri; Clupeiformes; Clupeidae. The transcript is spliced from 2 exons.